RNAcentral lists this long non-coding RNA (1505 nucleotides) under Theobroma cacao (cacao). RNAcentral describes it as "long non-coding RNA (TCAC_LNC000640)". Lineage: Eukaryota; Viridiplantae; Streptophyta; Magnoliopsida; Malvales; Malvaceae. The record is from RNAcentral.
AAAUCUGACGAUUCGGGUCGGAUUCUUGGUUAGGCUCUUCACCCGAUAGUAUUAUUGCUGACGGGUUUCCCCAUUCAUAGUCCAACAUUUUGUCGAAGUCGCAAACUUUCAAGACAAACCCCCUUUCUCCCCCUUGUUCCGGCGAGGUAACGGCUUCUUUUUUUUUAAUUUGUCCGUAUGAUUGCAACUAAUAAUCUGUCAACAACAAACAUCAAAGAAUAAUAGAUAAAACAGACAAAGGAAGCAAAGAGUUAUAGAGAGAGAGAGAGAGAGAGAGAGAUGGGAAAUGUGUCAGCUUUCACAAGAGAUAAUUGAAGGGAAAGAAGAACAAGAAAGUUUGUUUUUGGGGUUUUAAUGGUUAGCUUUUCCGAGGGUGCUAUGAGAGGUUAGUAGCAUAGCUUUUCGGGGAGGGGACAUGUCGGUGUUCAAGGUGGUUUCAGCCCCCGAAGAAAAAGAAUAAAAAUGAAAAAGAGAGCAAAGAGUUAAACCCCAAAACAACUCACCUUGCACGUCUUGGAUUGCGAAUUUCGAAACCCUGAACUCUACUUGCCAUUCCCCAGAGAGUUCAACUCUUCAAUUCUUCAUUUCCCCACUCUGCUGGCAAGUUCAUUAAGCCCCCUCUCUCUCUCUCUCUCUCCACUCUAUCUAUCUAUCUAANCCCACCUCUCUCUCUCUCUCUCCACUCUAUCUAUCUAUCUAAUCUUUAAAGCUCACGCAUUUUUCCCUCCCUCUUAAAAGCCAACUUGAGUUAGCUCUUUCUGUCUCUCUCUCUCGCUCUCUCUCGCUCUCUCUCUCUCUCUCUAGGUGGAGGACUGUCUGUGAGAAACUGGGUUAUGAGGCGGCUUGCGCAGAAGUGAUUGGUGACUAUGGACAAUGUGGAAGACUGAGAAAAUUACCCUUUAACCCACGUGAUGGCAACGUAUUUGUGGGGGCAGCUAAAACACAAAUGAAUAAACAGUGCAAUGAAAUUCCGUGUAAAAAGGUGGGAAAAUGGAGGGGAGAGCGACUCAGAGAGAGAGAGAGAGAGAGAGAGAGAGAGAAAGAGAGGGUUUGGCCUUAAUCUUUCGUUUUCUUUCUUCCCGUCUUUCCUUAGUCCAACUAGUUAGGGAAUUGGGGAAGAGAUGGGGGCAUCUGUUUGGGGGUUCAGUCUCCAGACAGUAACGCGAAUAACCGUGUGGUUGGUUUUUCUCUCUGCAGUGAAACGCCACGCGGUGAUCUUUAAACCUCAGGGUCCCACUUUACCCGCCUGCUUUGAUCAAUUGCCCCCAGAAGCCAGAAGAAAGGGUCAUCAUUUCUCUUUUGCUUGUUAAAACUUUACCCCCAACCCCACUGUUGCAUAUCGACAGGACGAAUAAGGCUAGUUUUUAUCUUGGUUUAAUUUAAUAUUGGAAUCUCCAUAAAGAUUGUACUUAGAUUCAUAUGAAUGUCAAUUCCAGCUCGUGAGUGUUACUUGUUCAACAGCAACGGUCUGUUUCCCAUUUCUAUCUAGUAAUAUCUAUUUGCAC